This 308-nucleotide unclassified non-coding RNA is filed under the name uncultured fungus. Its description in RNAcentral is "sequence contains ITS1, 5.8S rRNA gene". The record is from RNAcentral. Lineage: Eukaryota; Fungi.
UAUUCGUAGGUGAACCUGCGUAUGGAUCAUUACCGUUGCGUGAUUGCUUUCAAUCAUGAACAACCUCUAACUUCGCGCAGUCUCAUGCACGCGUAUCUCUCUGUGCGUGUGCGUGCUGACUGUGUCGCACCAUUAUGUAACUAGCAAGUCACUGCAUCUCGCAUGCCCGGUGACUUGCUUCAAACCUUUCCAUUCCAACAAAUCAUUGUUGUUUGUCAUUGAAUAUGAAUCGAAUCUAAACGAUACACAAACAAAAAAUAAUUCUGUACGGUGGAUCACUCGGCUCGUUAUUCGAUGAAGAACGCAGC